RNAcentral lists this ribosomal RNA (495 nucleotides) under uncultured bacterium. RNAcentral describes it as "partial 16S ribosomal RNA". It matches the Rfam family "Bacterial small subunit ribosomal RNA", at positions 28 to 507 of the family's 1533-position model. The record is from RNAcentral.
GAUGAACGCUGGCGGCGUGCCUAAUACAUGCAAGUAGAACGCUGGAGGAGGAGCUUGCUCUUCUGGAUGAGUUGCGAACGGGUGAGUAACGCGUAGGUAACCUGCCUGGUAGCGGGGGAUAACUAUUGGAAACGAUAGCUAAUACCGCAUGACAACAGUUAUUGCAUGAUAACUGUUUAAAAGGGGCAACUGCUCCACUACCAGAUGGACCUGCGUUGUAUUAGCUAGUUGGUGAGGUAACGGCUCACCAAGGCGACGAUACAUAGCCGACCUGAGAGGGUGAUCGGCCACACUGGGACUGAGACACGGCCCAGACUCCUACGGGAGGCAGCAGUAGGGAAUCUUCGGCAAUGGACGGAAGUCUGACCGAGCAACGCCGCGUGAGUGAAGAAGGUUUUCGGAUCGUAAAGCUCUGUUGUAAGAGAAGAACGAGUGUGAGAGUGGAAAGUUCACACUGUGACGGUAUCUUACCAGAAAGGGACGGCUAACUACGUG